This 463-nucleotide ribosomal RNA is filed under the name uncultured bacterium. RNAcentral's name for it is "SSU rRNA". It matches the Rfam family "Bacterial small subunit ribosomal RNA", at positions 26 to 518 of the family's 1533-position model. The record is from RNAcentral.
AGAAUCAACGCUGGCGGCGUGCCUAACACAUGCAAGUCGAACGAGAAAGUGGAGCAAUCCAUGAGUAAAGUGGCGCACGGGUGAGUAACACGUGACUAACCUACCCUUGAGUGGGGGAUAACCUAGAGAAAUCUGGGCUAAUACCGCAUAAUACCUUCGGGUCAAAGGAGCAAUUCGCUUAAGGAGGGGGUCGCGGCCGAUUAGUUAGUUGGCGGGGUAAUGGCCCACCAAGACUAUGAUCGGUAUCCGGCCUGAGAGGGCGCGACGGAACGACACCUGGAACUGAAACACGGUCCAGACUCCUACGGGAGGCAGCAGUGGGAAUUUUGCGCAAUGGGGGAAACCCUGACGCAGCAACGCCGCGUGGAGGAUGAAGUCCCUUGGGACGUAAACUCCUUUCGAUCGGGACGAUAAUGACGGUACCGAGAGAAGAAGCCCCGGCUAACUUCGUGCCAGCAGCCGC